AUACUGUGGUGUGGGCAUUUUCUUAACAUUGCUUUUAAUCGAUCCCAUGCUUGGUAUGCAGAUUCAGAAUCUGUCUGCAUAAAAUUAUUGAUUUCUUGCUUCAUUUU
This 107-nucleotide small nucleolar RNA is filed under the name Nicotiana attenuata. RNAcentral describes it as "Plant small nucleolar RNA R71". It matches the Rfam family "Plant small nucleolar RNA R71". From Rfam's summary of the family: R71 is a member of the C/D box family of snoRNAs containing the C (UGAUGA) and D (CUGA) box motifs. Lineage: Eukaryota; Viridiplantae; Streptophyta; Magnoliopsida; Solanales; Solanaceae. The record is from Rfam by way of RNAcentral.